Molecule: ribosomal RNA, 330 nt
Filed under: uncultured eukaryote
Lineage: Eukaryota
Description: partial 18S ribosomal RNA
Rfam family: Eukaryotic small subunit ribosomal RNA
Source: RNAcentral
CCCUUAGACGUUCUGGGCCGCACGCGCGCUACACUGACCAGUGCAACAAGCAUCCGUCCUUGGCCGACAGGCCCGGGCAAUCUUUGAACGCUGGUCGUGAUGGGGAUAGACUUUUGCAAUUUUUGGUCUUCAACGAGGAAUUCCUAGUAAACGCAAGUCAUCAACUUGCAUUGAUUACGUCCCUGCCCUUUGUACACACCGCCCGUCGCUCCUACCGAUUGAAUGGUCCGGUGAAAAUUUCGGAUACCGGCAUUGCUGGCGGUUCGCCGCCGGCGACGCUGGUAGAAGAUCUUUAAACCUUAUCAUUUAGAGGAAGGAGAAGUCGUAACA